This 433-nucleotide ribosomal RNA is filed under the name uncultured bacterium. RNAcentral describes it as "partial 16S ribosomal RNA". It matches the Rfam family "Bacterial small subunit ribosomal RNA", at positions 29 to 507 of the family's 1533-position model. The record is from RNAcentral.
AACGAACGCUGGCGGCAGGCCUAACACAUGCAAGUCGAGCGAGGACUUCGGUUCUAGCGGCGGACGGGUGAGUAACGCGUGGGAAUGUGCCCUUCUCUACGGAAUAGCCCUGGGAAACUGGGAGUAAUACCGUAUACGCCCUAUUGGGGAAAGAUUUAUCGGAGAAGGAUCAGCCCGCGUUGGAUUAGGUAGUUGGUGGGGUAAUGGCCUACCAAGCCGACGAUCCAUAGCUGGUCUGAGAGGAUGAUCAGCCACACUGGGACUGAGACACGGCCCAGACUCCUACGGGAGGCAGCAGUGGGGAAUCUUAGACAAUGGGGGCAACCCUGAUCUAGCCAUGCCGCGUGAGUGAUGAAGGCCUUAGGGUUGUAAAGCUCUUUCAGCUGGGAAGAUAAUGACGGUACCAGCAGAAGAAGCCCCGGCUAACUCCGUG